This 510-nucleotide ribosomal RNA is filed under the name uncultured bacterium. RNAcentral's name for it is "partial 16S ribosomal RNA". It matches the Rfam family "Bacterial small subunit ribosomal RNA", at positions 355 to 874 of the family's 1533-position model. The record is from RNAcentral.
UGGGGAAUUUUGGACAAUGGGCGAAAGCCUGAUCCAGCAAUGCCGCGUGUGUGAAGAAGGCCUUCGGGUUGUAAACCUCUUUUAGUAGGGAAGAAGCGGAAGUGACGGUACCUGCAGAAAAAGCACCGGCUAACUACGUGCCAGCAGCCGCGGUAAUACGUAGGGUGCGAGCGUUGUCCGGAAUUAUUGGGCGUAAAGAACUCGUAGGCGGUCUGUCGCGUCUGCUGUGAAAACCCGAGGCUCAACCUCGGGCCUGCAGUGGGUACGGGCAGACUAGAGUGCGGUAGGGGAGAAUGGAAUUCCUGGUGUAGCGGUGGAAUGCGCAGAUAUCAGGAGGAACACCGAUGGCGAAGGCAGUUCUCUGGGCCGUAACUGACGCUGAGGAGCGAAAGCGUGGGGAGCGAACAGGAUUAGAUACCCUGGUAGUCCACGCCGUAAAACGUUGGGCGCUAGAUGUGGGGACCAUUCCACGGUUUCCGUGUCGCAGCUAACGCAUUAAGCGCCCCGCCU